GGCCCGGUAGCUCAGUUGGUAGAGCACGUGACUGAAAAUUACGGUGUCGACAGUUCGAUUCUGUCCUGGGCCACCA
RNAcentral lists this transfer RNA (76 nucleotides) under Deltaproteobacteria bacterium. RNAcentral's name for it is "tRNA-Phe". It matches the Rfam family "tRNA". Rfam says of the family: Transfer RNA (tRNA) molecules are approximately 80 nucleotides in length. Lineage: Bacteria; Pseudomonadati; Myxococcota; Myxococcia. RNAcentral also lists the same sequence under 1 other name. The record is from RNAcentral.